This 382-nucleotide ribosomal RNA is filed under the name uncultured eukaryote. RNAcentral describes it as "SSU rRNA". It matches the Rfam family "Eukaryotic small subunit ribosomal RNA", at positions 587 to 972 of the family's 1831-position model. The record is from RNAcentral.
AGAUCCAAUAGCGUAUGUUAAAGUUGUUGCAGUUAAAAAGCUUGUGGUUGGAUUUCUGGCUGGGCAUGUAGGUCCGCUCUUACAAGUGUACACUAUACAUGCCUGGUCAUCCUUUGGGAGAGCCACAGUGGUAUUAAGUUGUUGAUGUGGAGAUCCCAAUCCUUUACUGUGAAGAAAUAAGAGUGUUCAAAGCAGGUUUACGCUGUUGAACAUAUUAGCAUGGAAUAAUAACAUAAGACUAUUAUACUAUUUUCUUGGUUUGCACACAACAGUAAAAAUUAACAGGGAUAGUUGGGGGUAUUUGUAUUCCAUUGUCAGAGGUGAAAUUCUUGGAUUUUUGGAAGACAAACUACUGCAAAACCAUUUACCAAAGAUGUGUUCA